UACGUAGGGUGCAAGCGUUGUCCGGAAUUAUUGGGCGUAAAGAGCUCGUAGGCGGUGUGUCGCGUCGGCCGUGAAAACCUGCAGCUUAACUGUGGGCUUGCGGUCGAUACGGGCAUCACUGGAGUUCGGCAGGGGAGACUGGAAUUCCUGGUGUAGCGGUGAAAUGCGCAGAUAUCAGGAGGAACACCGAUGGCGAAGGCAGGUCUCUGGGCCAUAACUGACGCUGAGAAGCGAAAGCAUGGGGAGCGAACAGG
This 254-nucleotide ribosomal RNA is filed under the name uncultured bacterium. Its description in RNAcentral is "partial 16S ribosomal RNA". It matches the Rfam family "Bacterial small subunit ribosomal RNA", at positions 524 to 776 of the family's 1533-position model. The record is from RNAcentral.